CCUACGGGAGGCAGCAGUGGGGAAUUUUCCGCAAUGGGCGAAAGCCUGACGGAGCAACGCCGCGUGAGGGAUGAAGGCCUCUGGGCUGUAAACCUCUUUUAUCAAGGAAGAAGAUCUGACGGUACUUGAUGAAUAAGCCACGGCUAAUUCCGUGCCAGCAGCCGCGGUAAUACGGGAGUGGCAAGCGUUAUCCGGAAUUAUUGGGCGUAAAGCGUCCGCAGGCGGUCUGUCAAGUCUGCUGUUAAAGCGUGGAGCUUAACUCCAUUUCGGCAGUGGAAACUGACAGACUAGAGUGUGGUAGGGGCAGAGGGAAUUCCCGGUGUAGCGGUGAAAUGCGUAGAUAUCGGGAAGAACACCAGUGGCGAAGGCGCUCUGCUGGGCCAUAACUGACGCUCAUGGACGAAAGCCAGGGGAGCGAAAGGGAUUAGAUACCCCUGUAGUCCUGGCCGUAAACGAUGAACACUAGGUGUCGGGGGAAUCGACCCCCUCGGUGUCGUAGCCAACGCGUUAAGUGUUCCGCCUGGGGAGUACGCACGCAAGUGUGAAACUCAAAGGAAUUGACGG
RNAcentral lists this ribosomal RNA (564 nucleotides) under uncultured cyanobacterium. Its description in RNAcentral is "bacterial SSU rRNA". It matches the Rfam family "Bacterial small subunit ribosomal RNA", at positions 338 to 916 of the family's 1533-position model. The record is from RNAcentral. RNAcentral also lists the same sequence under 1 other name. Lineage: Bacteria; Bacillati; Cyanobacteriota.